UACGGAGGGUGCAAGCAUUAAUCGGAUUUAUUGGGUGUAAAGAGCAUGUAGGCUGGUCAGUAAGUCAGAUGUGAAAUUUCGAAGCUCAACUUCGAAGCUGCAUUUGAAACUGCUGACCUAGAGGGUAGACGGAGAAAAUGGAAUUCCAAGUGUAGCGGUGGAAUGCGUAGAUAUUUGGAAGAACACCGGUGGCGAAAGCGGUUUUCUAGUUUAUUCCUGACGCUGAGAUGCGAGAGCAAGGGGAGCAAACAGG
RNAcentral lists this unclassified non-coding RNA (253 nucleotides) under uncultured Simkaniaceae bacterium. RNAcentral's name for it is "contains 16S-23S intergenic spacer region". It matches the Rfam family "Bacterial small subunit ribosomal RNA", at positions 524 to 776 of the family's 1533-position model. Lineage: Bacteria; Pseudomonadati; Chlamydiota; Chlamydiia; Parachlamydiales; Simkaniaceae. The record is from RNAcentral.